AGUGGCAGACGGGUGAGUAAUGUAUAGGAAUCUACCUAGUAGUACGGAAUAAUUGUUGGAAACGGCAACUAAUACCGUAUACGCCCUACGGGGGAAAAAUUUAUUGCUAUUAGAUGAGCCUAUAUUAGAUUAGUUAGUUGGUGAGGUAAAGGCUUACCAAGACAAUGAUCUAUAGCUGAUCUGAGAGGAUGAUCAGCCACACUGGAACUGAGAUACGGUCCAGACUCCUACGGGAGGCAGCAGUGGGGAAUAUUGGACAAUGGGCGAAAGCCUGAUCCAGCCAUGCCGCAUGAGUGAAGAAGGCCUUCGGGUUGUAAAGCUCUUUUAGUGAGGAAGAUAAUGACGGUACUCACAGAAGAAGUCCUGGCUAACUCCGUGCCAGCAGCCGCGGUAAUACGGAGAGGGCUAGCGUUAUUCGGAAUCAUUGGGCGUAAAGGGCGCGUAGGCGGGUUAGUAAGUUAAAAGUGAAAUCCCAAGGCUCAACCUUGGAACUGCUUUUAAAACUGCUAGUCUAGAGAUUGAAAGAGGAUAGAGGAAUUCCUAGUGUAGAGAUGAAAUUCGUAAAUAUUAGGAGGAACACCAGUGGCGAANGCGUCUAUCUGGUUCAAAUCUGACGCUGANGCGCGAAGGCGUGGGGAGCAAACAGGAUUAGAUACCCUGGUNNUNCACG
This 670-nucleotide ribosomal RNA is filed under the name uncultured Wolbachia sp. RNAcentral describes it as "bacterial SSU rRNA". It matches the Rfam family "Bacterial small subunit ribosomal RNA", at positions 94 to 799 of the family's 1533-position model. Lineage: Bacteria; Pseudomonadati; Pseudomonadota; Alphaproteobacteria; Rickettsiales; Anaplasmataceae. The record is from RNAcentral.